RNAcentral lists this ribosomal RNA (681 nucleotides) under uncultured fungus. RNAcentral's name for it is "eukaryotic LSU rRNA". Lineage: Eukaryota; Fungi. The record is from RNAcentral.
CUUGGUCAUUUAGAGGAAGUAAAAGUUGUUGUGACCCUCCGGAUCGGGCCGAAGUCAUGGGAGGCAAGAGGAAUGGGGGUGGCGUCCGAUGCUCGUGAAUCCUUGACAACCUGUGACUUCAGAGGGGGAGGGUGGCAAAAGAAGGGAGGCGUGUUUACCGCGUCCUACACUACGGGCCCAUGUUUUGCUAGUAACUAGAUAAUUGAGUUGCGUGAGAAUUGGCAGGUACUGCUACAACUUUCAUCUUCGGAUGACUCUGCUCUGGCGUAUCUCUCGAUCGAAUCGACAUGCAAUAAGUAAUGUGAAUUGCAUAAGUCAUUGAAACAGAAAUCUUUAACAGCGAACCGCCCUCCCCCUCAUGCCCAUUCCCAGGAUCGUGUCUGUGUCUUGAAAAUGUCAUCCUCGGGGGUGUUCUUUUUAGCGACCGCCGGGGCUUGGAUGUGGGGACCUUUGACGGCCCGUGGGGGGCCUACUUCCUGGAGAUGCAUCAACUCUACCGAUCACACCCACCCUCUCUGGGAUGUGAUAAGUAAAUGAAGAUUACGAUUUGUUUCAUUGCUUUCCUGCUGUCUUGUUGUUCUCAGUUUUCUUACGUCCGACUGACAAAAUCACUACUAGGAAUACCCCGCUCAAAUCAGGCAGAACAACCCGCUGAACUUAAGCAUAUCAGUAAGCGGAGGA